AUUGACCUGUUGAUAUCGUCUUCAUUUAUUAUAAAACUGACUAAUUAUACGAUAAGGGAAUCUAAAGUAUAGCUGGUGUUGAAUGACCACAUUUUAUGUGGUAAUCCUAAAGGUUAUAUGGGGAUGCCCACCUGUUUUAAGGCAGGUUUAUAUCGUACUUGGAGACGACUCGAUGGGUUAUAU
This 183-nucleotide non-coding RNA is filed under the name Mollicutes bacterium. Its description in RNAcentral is "6S RNA". It matches the Rfam family "6S / SsrS RNA". Rfam says of the family: E. coli 6S RNA was the first non coding RNA to be sequenced, but its function was unknown until recently. It consists of 184 nucleotides that fold into an extended hairpin structure with a large single-stranded internal bulge. The 6S RNA specifically associates with RNA polymerase holoenzyme containing the sigma70 specificity factor. The record is from RNAcentral. Lineage: Bacteria; Bacillati; Mycoplasmatota; Mollicutes.